UACGUAGGUGGCAAGCGUUGUCCGGAUUUAUUGGGUUUAAAGGGUGCGUAGGCGGUCUUGUAAGUCAGUUCUGAAAUAUCCCGGCUUAACCGGGAGGGUGGGAUUGAUACUGCAGGACUUGAGUGGAGUCGAGGUAGGCGGAAUUGACGGUGUAGCGGUGAAAUGCUUAGAUAUCGUCAAGAACACCGAUAGUGUAGACAGCUUACUAGUCUCAAACUGACGCUGAGGCACGAAAGUGUGGGGAUCAAACAGGAUUAGAAACCCCCGUAGUCC
Molecule: ribosomal RNA, 273 nt
Filed under: uncultured bacterium
Lineage: Bacteria
Description: partial 16S ribosomal RNA
Rfam family: Bacterial small subunit ribosomal RNA
Source: RNAcentral